This 253-nucleotide ribosomal RNA is filed under the name uncultured bacterium. RNAcentral describes it as "partial 16S ribosomal RNA". It matches the Rfam family "Bacterial small subunit ribosomal RNA", at positions 524 to 776 of the family's 1533-position model. The record is from RNAcentral.
UACAGAGGGGGCGAGCGUUGUUCGGAAUUACUGGGCGUAAAGGGCGCGUAGGCGGCCAACUAAGUCAGACGUGAAAUCCCUCGGCUCAACCGGGGAACUGCGUCCGAUACUGGCAGGCUUGAAUUCGGGAGAGGGAUGCGGAAUUCCAGGUGUAGCGGUGAAAUGCGUAGAUAUCUGGAGGAACACCGGUGGCGAAGGCGGCAUCCUGGACCGAAAUUGACGCUGAGGCGCGAAAGCCAGGGGAGCAAACGGG